AAAAGUACAGGGUUUCGAUAGAGUGACCUGCGGUAGGAUCAUUA
RNAcentral lists this ribosomal RNA (44 nucleotides) under Mucor zonatus. RNAcentral describes it as "partial 18S ribosomal RNA". The record is from RNAcentral. Lineage: Eukaryota; Fungi; Mucoromycota; Mucoromycetes; Mucorales; Mucoraceae.